AGAGGACCGGAGUGGACGAACCUCUGGUGUUCCGGUUGUCACGCCAGUGGCAUUGCCGGGUAGCUAUGUUCGGAAGCGAUAACCGCUGAAAGCAUCUAAGCGGGAAGCGCGCCUCAAGAUGAGAUCUCCCGGGGCACAAGCCCCCUGAAGGAACCAUAUAGACUAUGUGGUUGAUAGGUCAGGUGUGUAAGUACAGCAAUGUAUUGAGCUAACUGAUACUAAUGAUCCGUGUGGCUUGACCAUAUAACCUCA
RNAcentral lists this ribosomal RNA (252 nucleotides) under Mycobacterium tuberculosis. Its description in RNAcentral is "partial 23S ribosomal RNA". It matches the Rfam family "Bacterial large subunit ribosomal RNA", at positions 2686 to 2925 of the family's 2925-position model. The record is from RNAcentral. Lineage: Bacteria; Bacillati; Actinomycetota; Actinomycetes; Mycobacteriales; Mycobacteriaceae.